RNAcentral lists this long non-coding RNA (828 nucleotides) under Mytilus galloprovincialis (Mediterranean mussel). The record is from RNAcentral. Lineage: Eukaryota; Metazoa; Mollusca; Bivalvia; Mytilida; Mytilidae.
CGCUUGGUUUUAUCUUAUUAAACUAUAACAUAUCACUAUGUUAUAAGAAACUAUGGUAAGUGUUUACAUGCAGUUCAUUUCUUAUGUAUAGCUUUUUUAACUGCUUUGCCUUAACCAUUAUUUUUUCGUUAUACACAUGAUUAACAUUUCAAAUAAUGUUCUAGUUAAUUUUUCACGUACAAUUAAAUAAAAAAGCGUUGUUGUUGUGGAGGUUAGCGACUAGCAACUGAUUGUUUGAUCCAUUAUAAUGAAUAGCGAUAGGAUGACUUAGACCAUCAUUUGCUGUCAAUAUUUCUCUAUGCCGUUGUCCAUCAGGGGAGAUAGCUACAACAUUGUUCGAACUGUAUCCCGUCACGUACACAUUGCCAUCUUUAUCUACAUCAAUACCAUGCGGAUUAUUCAAAACGCUUUCGUUAAGGAAUAACCAUUCUAGUUUACCUUGUAGAUUAUAACAUGUAACAGUAUUUGUUAUAUAGCUUGUAUAGUAUUGUUCUCCCUUAAUGUUGCAAUUGCAAUGUAACAGUAAACGGGCAUUUUGUCUCGAACUAUAUCAUGUAUAGACUCGUCCUCUAGACUGAUCAUUUGUAUACCAUUGUCUCUUCCGGAAUAUAUUAAUUGAUUACCGUUAAGUGUUAUGCCAUCAAUGUACGAAUUCAGUGAAAUUGUUUUCAUGAUUUGUUUCGUCCCUAGGUCUAUAAUGUAAAUACUCAUCAUCACUGAACUACCAGAUGUGACAGCCAAUGUAUUGUUUCCACUGAUGUAUACUAUAUCAAAUGGGUGACACGGCAUCUUAACCUCAAAGUCUUUUGAUCCUUUAUCGUUGAAUAC